RNAcentral lists this long non-coding RNA (1297 nucleotides) under Anas zonorhyncha (Eastern spot-billed duck). RNAcentral describes it as "lncRNA (ENSAZOG00000005285.1)". Lineage: Eukaryota; Metazoa; Chordata; Aves; Anseriformes; Anatidae. The record is from RNAcentral.
AUGCCCAUGCCUAGCCCGGAGUGCCUUCAAGGGAGACACACACAUCUGGAGAGGCUCUUCAUCUUCCCUCAUGAGGUCCAGAAAGAGGCAGAGGGUGCUGAAUUGGCUCGGUUCUUGCCCUGCAUUCAUAGGGAGAAGCAGAAAGGGAAAAGUGAGGGCCAGAGCCACUGGGCCAUCCCUCCCUCUUGCCCAGCAGGAGGCAUCUGUGCCUUUCUUGUCCCAGUGCAAGCCCAUGGCUUCUGGCACGGAACUGCCCACCUCUGUCACCUUCCCCUCUUGCUCCACCACCCUCAAUCGACUUGUGCUUUCCUCCCGGUAGCUGUCACCCACAAAAGGCCAACUGUGCCACACAGUGUGCCACAAUUCAUCACGCAGAAGACCACACCUGUGACAUUGGCCAGCAGUACCUCCCAGACCUCUGUUUCCAGAGAAGCCAGCCCUGCCAGCAGUCCAGAAGUCCCACUGACAAAGACGUCUCCGAGCCCCAGCUCUUUACCUGUCACCUCAACCUCAUCUGUUUCUUCCUCCUCAUCUGCCCUGCCCUCAACACGGCUGAGACCAUCACAUCCCGCCUCCAAAACUACAUUGCCACCCGUGAGCACGGAGAAGACCACCCCAGCCACAUCUGCCAGCAGCACCUCCAGGACGUCCGUGCCCAGCGAGGCCAGCCCCGCCAGCAGCCCAGCAGUGCCAGUGGCCAGGACGUCGCCUGCCCCCAGCAGCCCUCUCAGCACCAGGCUGCCAUCUGCCGCCCCUUCCACAGCCUCCUCCCCGUCGCCCCCAAGCUCCCGGCUCAGACCCACGCCUACGACCCUGAGGCCCAAGCCCUCUCCCCCGAGGACCAGUGCUCCCACAGAGUUGCCUGCGUCCUCCGCACCCUCCACAGCCAAAACCAGCCCGCUGCCCUCAUCUACGUCCUCCCCGCUCUCAACUGUGUCCUCAGCAGUGCCGAGCUCCUCACAGCCAGGUAAGGCUCCCUGCUGCCUUCCUUCUGCUCUGCCUGCCCUUUACUGGUGUCGUGGUGUAACCCGGCCGGCACCUAAAGACCACGCAGCCAUUCGCUCACCCUCCCCCGGCUAGCCACCCCUAUAUAUUGUUCAGCAUGACGUCAGAUCAUAUGGAAUACUCCUUUGACUAGUUUGGGCCCCCUGUGCUGACUCUAUCCACCCCCCAGCUCCUGCUGCACCCCCAACCUACCCAUAGGAAGGACAGAGCAAGAAGCUGAGACGUCCUUGGCUUGGUGUAAGCACUGCUCUGCAACAAUUAAAACAUUGGGGUGUUAUCAGCACUCUUCUCA